CUUUGAGUCAAAGCACUCGACCGUCUCUCAGUUUGAAGAAGACUGAAGAUGAAUCCAGAUUACAGCAGCAGAGAAACGAAGGUCUUGCAGACCUUUAAAAACCUUUCAAAAGAAGAUUUUUUUCUGCUUGAAAUGACCAAAUGCAACAGCGUGGGCAGUGAACACGAGCGUCUGACCUUCAAACUCAAAUAUCUGACACGUGAAACUCUCUGACAGCCUCAAAAUCAAAAUUAAUGAGACUUUCAAAUGAUUUCUGAAGCCUCUGACCUCUAACUGCUAGUUUGUUGUCUUAUGUAAAGAAUGUUUUAUUUCUGUUGGUUGUUUGGAGUUAAACAAACCAAAAAAAGACAGAAAGAUGUUCAGUCAGUUCAAAUAAAAACAAAAAAAACUGUCAAUCUGUAAAUAAAAGUGAAUUUCAUUGAUUGUUUAUUGAUCCCUGAGCUCCAGUCAAUAAUAUCUUGUGUCACUUUUCUUUCAUUUAUAUGUGCAAAUAAAGCAAACUGUGAUGAAA
Long non-coding RNA from Thunnus maccoyii (southern bluefin tuna), 511 nucleotides. RefSeq lists it as uncharacterized. The record is from RefSeq and is a predicted model, not a curated record. The transcript is spliced from 2 exons. Lineage: Eukaryota; Metazoa; Chordata; Actinopteri; Scombriformes; Scombridae.